CGGACGGGUGAGUAACGCGUAAAGAACUUGCCCUUUAGACUGGGAUAACAGAGGGAAACUUCUGAUAAUACUGGAUAAGUCAGUAUAUCGCAUGAUAUGCAAAUGAAAGCUACGGCACUAAAGGAGAGCUUUGCGUCCUAUUAGCUAGUUGGUAAGGUAAGAGCUUACCAAGGCGAUGAUAGGUAGCCGGCCUGAGAGGGUGGACGGCCACAAGGGGACUGAGAUACGGCCCUUACUCCUACGGGAGGCAGCAGAU
RNAcentral lists this ribosomal RNA (256 nucleotides) under uncultured Leptotrichia sp. RNAcentral describes it as "partial 16S ribosomal RNA". It matches the Rfam family "Bacterial small subunit ribosomal RNA", at positions 99 to 354 of the family's 1533-position model. The record is from RNAcentral. Lineage: Bacteria; Fusobacteriati; Fusobacteriota; Fusobacteriia; Fusobacteriales; Leptotrichiaceae.